Molecule: ribosomal RNA, 84 nt
Filed under: Mordavella massiliensis
Lineage: Bacteria; Bacillati; Bacillota; Clostridia; Eubacteriales; Clostridiaceae
Description: partial 16S ribosomal RNA
Rfam family: Bacterial small subunit ribosomal RNA
Source: RNAcentral
GAAGGCGGGACCGGUAACUGGGGUGAAGUCGUAACAAGGUAGCCGUAUCGGAAGGUGCGGCUGGAUCACCUCCUUUCUAAGGAA